This 464-nucleotide ribosomal RNA is filed under the name uncultured bacterium. Its description in RNAcentral is "partial 16S ribosomal RNA". It matches the Rfam family "Bacterial small subunit ribosomal RNA", at positions 29 to 507 of the family's 1533-position model. The record is from RNAcentral.
ACGCACGCUGGCGGCGUGCUUCACACAUGCAAGUCGAACGGAAAGGCCCCUUUGGGGGUACUCGAGUGGCGACCGGGUGAGUAACACGUGAGUAACCUGCCCUUGACUUCGGGAUAACUUCAGGAAACUGGGGCUAAUACCGGAUAGGAAUCCUUGCUGCAUGGUGGGGGUUGGAAAGCUUCGGCGGUUUUGGAUGGACUCGCGGCUUAUCAGCUUGUUGGUGGGGUAGUGGCUUACCAAGGCUUUGACGGGUAGCCGGCCUGAGAGGGCGACCGGCCACAUUGGGACUGAGAGACGGCCCAGACGCCUACGGGAGGCAGCAGUGGGGAAUAUUGCACAAGGGGCGGAAGCCUGAUGCAGCAACGCCGCGUGCGGGAUGACGGCCUUCGGGUUGUAAACCGCUUUCAGCAGGGGCGAAGCUUGUGGUGACGGUACCUGCAGAAGAAGCACCGGCUAACUACGUG